This 502-nucleotide ribosomal RNA is filed under the name uncultured Glomeromycotina. Its description in RNAcentral is "partial small subunit ribosomal RNA". It matches the Rfam family "Eukaryotic small subunit ribosomal RNA", at positions 591 to 1092 of the family's 1831-position model. Lineage: Eukaryota; Fungi; Glomeromycota. The record is from RNAcentral.
CCAAUAGCGUAUAUUAAAGUUGUUGCAGUUAAAAAGCUCGUAGUUGAAUUUCGGGAUUCGUCCAUUGGUCAGGCUUAACUGUCUGUACUGGUGUGUCGGAUUUCUACCUUCUGAAGAACCUUUAUGCCAUUAAUUUGGUGUGUUGGGGAAUCAGGACUGUUACUUUGAAAAAAUUAGAGUGUUUAAAGCAGGCUAACGUCUGAAUACAUUAGCAUGGAAUAAUGAAAUAGGACGGUACGGUUCUAUUUUGUUGGUUUCUAGGAUCGCCGGAAUGAUGAAUAGGGAUGGUUGGGGGCAUUAGUAUUAAAUUGUCAGAGGUGAAAUUCUUGGGUUUAUUGAAGACUAACUACUGCGAAAGCAUUUGCCAAGGAUGUUUUCAUUAAUCAAGAACGAAAGUUAGGGGAUCGAAGACGAUCAGAUACCGUCGUAGUCUUAACCAUAAACUAUGCCGACUAGGGAUGGGACGAUGUUAAUUUUUUAAUGACUCGUUCAGCACCUUACG